GCGGGAAUAGCUCAGUUGGUAGAGCAUAACCUUGCCAAGGUUGGGGUCGCGAGUUCGAGUCUCGUUUCACGCUCCA
Molecule: transfer RNA, 76 nt
Filed under: Acinetobacter baumannii 1294217
Lineage: Bacteria; Pseudomonadati; Pseudomonadota; Gammaproteobacteria; Moraxellales; Moraxellaceae
Description: tRNA-Gly
Rfam family: tRNA
About the family: Transfer RNA (tRNA) molecules are approximately 80 nucleotides in length.
Source: RNAcentral